UACGGAGGGGGCUAGCGUUGUUCGGAAUCACUGGGCGUAAAGCGCACGUAGGCGGCUUGUUAAGUCAGGGGUGAAAUCCUGGAGCUCAACUCCAGAACUGCCUUUGAUACUGGCGAGCUUGAGUCCGGGAGAGGUGAGUGGAACUGCGAGUGUAGAGGUGAAAUUCGUAGAUAUUCGCAAGAACACCAGUGGCGAAGGCGGCUCACUGGCCCGGUACUGACGCUGAGGUGCGAAAGCGUGGGGAGCAAACAGG
This 253-nucleotide ribosomal RNA is filed under the name uncultured bacterium. RNAcentral's name for it is "partial 16S ribosomal RNA". It matches the Rfam family "Bacterial small subunit ribosomal RNA", at positions 524 to 776 of the family's 1533-position model. The record is from RNAcentral.